RNAcentral lists this transfer RNA (73 nucleotides) under Bos taurus (domestic cattle). It matches the Rfam family "tRNA". From Rfam's summary of the family: Transfer RNA (tRNA) molecules are approximately 80 nucleotides in length. Their secondary structure includes four short double-helical elements and three loops (D, anti-codon, and T loops). RNAcentral also lists the same sequence under 1 other name. Lineage: Eukaryota; Metazoa; Chordata; Mammalia; Artiodactyla; Bovidae. The record is from Rfam by way of RNAcentral.
UCCCUCGUGGUCCAGUGGUUAGGACUCUGUGCUUCCGCUUCAGGGGAUGCAGGUUUGAACCCUGGUUGGGGAA